GUGCCAGCAGCCGCGGUAAUACGUAGGCAGCAAGCGUUGUUCGGAAUUACUGGGCGUAAAGAGUGCGUAGGCGGUUAACUAAGUUUGGUGUGAAAUCUCCCGGCUUAACUGGGAGGGUGCGCCGAAAACUGGCUAGCUAGAGUGUGGGAGAGGAUAGUGGAAUUCCUGGUGUAGCGGUGAAAUGCGUAGAUAUCAGGAGGAACACCUGCGGUGUAGACGGCUAUCUGGACCAUGACUGACGCUGAGGCACGAAAGCGUGGGUAGCAAACAGGAUUAGAUACCCUGGUAGUCC
RNAcentral lists this ribosomal RNA (292 nucleotides) under uncultured bacterium. RNAcentral's name for it is "partial 16S ribosomal RNA". It matches the Rfam family "Bacterial small subunit ribosomal RNA", at positions 505 to 796 of the family's 1533-position model. The record is from RNAcentral.